UUUCGCGUUUGGAUUGUUAUCCACAAUCGCGUUGCCCACAGCAUGCAGCAAGUGGGUUUUACCCAAACCCGUGCCGCCAUA
This 81-nucleotide antisense RNA is filed under the name Vibrio mytili. RNAcentral describes it as "antisense RNA of dnaA mRNA". It matches the Rfam family "antisense RNA of dnaA mRNA". Lineage: Bacteria; Pseudomonadati; Pseudomonadota; Gammaproteobacteria; Vibrionales; Vibrionaceae. The record is from RNAcentral.